AACGAACGCUGGCGGCAGGCCUAACACAUGUAAGUCGAGCGCUUCCCUUCGGGGAGGAGCGGCGGACGGGUUAGUAACGCGUGGGAACAUACCCUUUUCUAUGGAAUAGCCUCGGGAAACUGAGAGUAAUACCAUAUACGCCCUUUUGGGGAAAGAUUUAUCGGUGAAGGAUUGGCCCGCGUAAGAUUAGAUAGUUGGUGGGGUAAUGGCCUACCAAGUCUACGAUCUUUAGCUGGUUUGAGAGGAUGAUCAGCAACACUGGGACUGAGACACGGCCCAG
RNAcentral lists this ribosomal RNA (280 nucleotides) under uncultured Loktanella sp. RNAcentral describes it as "partial 16S ribosomal RNA". It matches the Rfam family "Bacterial small subunit ribosomal RNA", at positions 29 to 334 of the family's 1533-position model. Lineage: Bacteria; Pseudomonadati; Pseudomonadota; Alphaproteobacteria; Rhodobacterales; Roseobacteraceae. The record is from RNAcentral.